GAUGAACGCUGGCUACAGGCUUAACACAUGCAAGUCGAGGGGAAACGACGGGGAAGCUUGCUUCCCCGGGCGUCGACCGGCGCACGGGUGAGUAACGCGUAUCCAACCUGCCUCUGACUGAGGGAUAACCCGUCGAAAGUCGGCCUAAUACCUCAUGGCAUCGUCUGCGGGCAUCCAACGACGAUUAAAGAUUUCAUCGGUCAGGGAUGGGGAUGCGUCUGAUUAGCUUGUUGGCGGGGUAACGGCCCACCAAGGCUACGAUCAGUAGGGGUUCUGAGAGGAAGGUCCCCCACAUUGGAACUGAGACACGGUCCAAACUCCUACGGGAGGCAGCAGUGAGGAAUAAUGGUCAAUGGGCGGGAGCCUGAACCAGCCAAGUAGCGUGCAGGAUGACGGCCCUAUGGGUUGUAAACUGCUUUUAUGCGGGGAUAAAGUGAGGGACGUGUCCUUCAUUGCAGGUACCGCAUGAAUAAGGACCGGCUAAUUCCGUG
RNAcentral lists this ribosomal RNA (491 nucleotides) under uncultured bacterium. RNAcentral's name for it is "partial 16S ribosomal RNA". It matches the Rfam family "Bacterial small subunit ribosomal RNA", at positions 28 to 507 of the family's 1533-position model. The record is from RNAcentral.